GAUGAAGAACGUAGUAAAAUGCGAUAAUUAAUGUGAAUUGCAGAAUUCAGUGAAUCAUCGAGUCUUUGAACGCACAUUGCGCCCCCUGGUAUUCCGGGGGGCAUGCCUGUCCGAGCGUCAUUGCUGCCCUCAAGCACGGCUUGUGUGUUGGGCUUCCGUCCCUGGCAACGGGGACGGGCCCAAAAGGCAGUGGCGGCACCAUGUCUGGUCCUCGAGCGUAUGGGGCUUUGUCACCCGCUCCCGUAGGUCCAGCUGGCAGCUAGCCUCGCAACCAAUCUUUUUAACCAGGUUGACCUCGGAUCAGGUAGGGAUACCCGCUGAACUUAAGAAUAUCAAUAAGCGGAGGA
RNAcentral lists this unclassified non-coding RNA (347 nucleotides) under soil metagenome. RNAcentral describes it as "partial contains 5.8S ribosomal RNA, internal transcribed spacer 2, and large subunit ribosomal RNA". The stretch from base 1 to 120 matches the Rfam family "5.8S ribosomal RNA", at positions 35 to 154 of the family's 154-position model. The record is from RNAcentral.